CACUCCUACGGGGGGCAGCAGUGAGGAAUAUCGGUCAAUGGGCGAGAGCCUGAACCAGCCAAGUCGCGUGAGGGAAGACGGUCCUAUGGAUUGUAAACCUCUUUUGCCGGGGAGCAAAAAGCGGUACGUGUACCGCAUCGAGAGUACCCGGAGAAAAAGCAUCGGCUAACUCCGUGCCAGCAGCCGCGGUAAUACGGAGGAUGCGAGCGUUAUCCGGAUUUACUGGGUUUAAAGGGUGCGUAGGCGGGAUGCCAAGUCAGCGGUAA
This 266-nucleotide ribosomal RNA is filed under the name uncultured bacterium. RNAcentral's name for it is "partial 16S ribosomal RNA". It matches the Rfam family "Bacterial small subunit ribosomal RNA", at positions 334 to 597 of the family's 1533-position model. The record is from RNAcentral.